CGGCUGUCGCCACCAAGCGUGUAUAUGGUCCUGUUACCGCAGCAACCCGGACCAAGAUCAGCCAUGCGCUAAAGGUUGGAAAUACCAUCGUAAAUACCAUCGUCGAGACUCACAGUUUCUCUCGUAGGACUUCGAAAGGCGGACUGGCUCAAUAAGCAGUCGCAUGAGGAAACUACACGAAGAUCCAGUUUUGCACGCUGAAAGAGUAGCUGCGAUUCAGGUAUGAGAGUUUUUCAAAGCAAGGAGCUUACUGUUGUGCGUAGAAAGCGAAAGGAACGGAUGAAUCGAGGAAGAACAUCUCGACUAAGCUGAUAGCUUACUUCACGAACCCUGAGAAUAGAAUCAAACAAAGUUUACGCAUGAAAGGUACCAGCAAAGUACCCUCUCCACAAAGU
Molecule: long non-coding RNA, 395 nt
Filed under: Selaginella moellendorffii
Lineage: Eukaryota; Viridiplantae; Streptophyta; Lycopodiopsida; Selaginellales; Selaginellaceae
Description: long non-coding RNA (SMOE_LNC001635)
Source: RNAcentral